UACGUAGGGUGCGAGCGUUAAUCGGAAUUACUGGGCGUAAAGCGUGCGCAGGCGGUCUGUUAAGACCGAUGUGAAAUCCCCGGGCUUAACCUGGGAACUGCAUUGGUGACUGGCAGGCUUUGAGUGUGGCAGAGGGGGGUAGAAUUCCACGUGUAGCAGUGAAAUGCGUAGAGAUGUGGAGGAAUACCGAUGGCGAAGGCAGCCCCCUGGGCGUAACACUGACGCUC
RNAcentral lists this ribosomal RNA (227 nucleotides) under uncultured bacterium. RNAcentral describes it as "partial 16S ribosomal RNA". It matches the Rfam family "Bacterial small subunit ribosomal RNA", at positions 524 to 748 of the family's 1533-position model. The record is from RNAcentral.